This 496-nucleotide ribosomal RNA is filed under the name uncultured bacterium. RNAcentral describes it as "partial 16S ribosomal RNA". It matches the Rfam family "Bacterial small subunit ribosomal RNA", at positions 28 to 523 of the family's 1533-position model. The record is from RNAcentral.
GACGAACGCUGGCGGCGUGCCUAACACAUGCAAGUCGAGCGGAGUAAGUAAGAGGAAGUUUUCGGAUGGAAUCUUAUUGAUUUAGCGGCGGACGGGUGAGUAACGCGUGAGCGACCAACCUUGCACAGGGGGAUAACGGACCGAAAGGUUCACUAAUCCCGCAUGAGAACACGGUGUUGCAUGACAGAGAGGUGAAAGGAGCAAUCCGGUGCAAGACGUGCUCGCGGCCGAUUAGGUAGUUGGAGGGGUAACGGCCCACCAAGCCUAUGAUCGGUAGCCGAGCUGAGAGGAGGAUCGGCCACAUUGGAACUGAGAUACGGUCCAAACUCGUACGGGAGGCAGGAGUGGGGAAUAUUCGGCAAUGGGGGAAACCCUGACCCAGCAACGCCGCGGGAAGGAAGAAGUAUCUCGGUAUGUAAACCUCUAUCAGCAGGGAAGAUAGUGACGGUACCUGACUAAGAAGCCCCGGCUAACUACGUGCCAUCAGCCGCGGUAA